GAAAUCACGUAACCUCUCUGGACCAUGGUCACCUCCCUUGGGAAAAAAUCUUCUAGGGUUGUUGGGAGGCGCAGAGGAGGCGGCGUGCGCGGCAACUCCUCCUGGCGCGUUUGCCUCGACCCUAAAUUGCCAAGCUUCGAGGAGCCAGGAGGCCCGAGAGCCGGGGCUGGAGGAGACACCCGACCCUGCCCCGCCGUUCCCCUCUCCCGCACGCACGGAAAAUACUCCAGUGAGCUGAGAAGGUUCAGAUGCACCCGGCAUUCCCCCAGGCGCCCUCCCGUGCGGGAGGUCCUGGAUACUUCGCCCAAAUCCUGGGGACGGGGGAAGGAUUCCCAGGCCCAUUUCGCAGAUGAGAAAACUAAGGGAGAAGAGUGGUGACAAGUUCAAACCGAGGCCCCAACCACGGGGACCGAACCUCUGCCGGAGCUCCCGAGGCUGCAGGAUCCUAGACCCAGCGUACCCGGGAACGUGCCCCGCGCCAGCUCAGAGCCCGCCCGGGUGCCUGCGCGCAACCCUGCGCUCGCCCGGAAUUCCUAGGCCGACCUGCGGCCUCUGGGGCUAGAAACCGAGCAGAGCGCCCCAGACUCGGUUUCCACACUGCGCGAAGGUCUCUAUCUGUGGAGACGUCCUCUCUUCCCAGAGUCUAAUGCCAGGGGUCGUCAUAGGGGCUGUGAAGGCGCUCACAUUCUGGCAGCUCAAAAUUAGUUCUACAAACCGCAUCUACACGAGCGCGGCGAUUUCUGAGAAGGAUGGCAAUGCCUCCAUCCCCCACCUGGCCUCCUGUGGGAAAAACAGAUCUGUCCUGUGUGUUCAAAGCGACACCCCCUCUGUCGCCGAAUCUCCUGUUGUCACCUUUGAAAGUUGCUGCUGUAAAACCGCCAUCAAACUGAAAAGCAACUGUGUAACGUGAAGAGACGGCA
RNAcentral lists this long non-coding RNA (920 nucleotides) under Equus caballus (horse). RNAcentral describes it as "lncRNA (ENSECAG00000035862.2)". Lineage: Eukaryota; Metazoa; Chordata; Mammalia; Perissodactyla; Equidae. The record is from RNAcentral.